AGUGAACGCUGGCGGUAGGCCUAACACAUGCAAGUCGAACGGCAGCACAGUAAGAGCUUGCUCUUACGGGUGGCGAGUGGCGGACGGGUGAGGAAUACAUCGGAAUCUACUUUUUCGUGGGGGAUAACGUAGGGAAACUUACGCUAAUACCGCAUACGACCUACGGGUGAAAGCAGGGGAUCUUCGGACCUUGCGCGAUUGAAUGAGCCGAUGUCGGAUUAGCUAGUUGGCGGGGUAAAGGCCCACCAAGGCGACGAUCCGUAGCUGGUCUGAGAGGAUGAUCAGCCACACUGGAACUGGGACACGGUCCAGACUCCUACGGGAGGCAGCAGUGGGGAAUAUUGGACAAUGGGCGCAAGCCUGAUCCGGCCAUACCGCGUGGGUGAAGAAGGCCUUCGGGUUGUAAAGCCCUUUUGUUGGGAAAGAAAAGCAGCAGGUUAAUACCCCGCUGUUCUGACGGUACCCAAAGAAUAAGCACCGGCUAACCUCGUG
This 492-nucleotide ribosomal RNA is filed under the name uncultured bacterium. RNAcentral describes it as "partial 16S ribosomal RNA". It matches the Rfam family "Bacterial small subunit ribosomal RNA", at positions 29 to 507 of the family's 1533-position model. The record is from RNAcentral.